Molecule: ribosomal RNA, 468 nt
Filed under: uncultured bacterium
Lineage: Bacteria
Description: partial 16S ribosomal RNA
Rfam family: Bacterial small subunit ribosomal RNA
Source: RNAcentral
GACGAACGCUGGCGGCGUGCUUAACACAUGCAAGUCGAACGAAAAGGCCCGGCUUUUGUGGGGUGCUCGAGUGGCGCACGGGUGAGUAAAACGUGAGUAAACUGCACCUGAAUUAGGGAUAACUUCAGGAAACUGGGGCGAAUACCGGGUAGAAGAUCCUGCUGCGUGGUGGGGGUUGGAAAGUUUCGGCGGUUGGGGAUGGACUCGCGGCUUAUCAGCUUGUUUGUGGGGUAGGGGCUUACAAGGGCUUUGACGGGUAGCCGGCCUGAGAGGGUGACCGGCCACAAUGGGACUGCGAUACGGCGCAGAAUCCUACGGGCGGCAGCAGGGGGGAAUAUUGCGGAAUGGGCGGAAGCCUGAGGCAGCAACGCCGCGAGCGUGAUACUGUGUUACGGGUUGUGAACCGCUUUGUCAGGUGACGUGCCGUGCGUGACGGUAAUUGGUCAGGAAGCCACGGCUAACUACGUG